CUGCAAUUCCUGGCCAAUCUGGUUUCAUAUCUAUUUCAAAGUCAAAUGGUAUCAAAUUACACAAAUGACGUGGGUAAAAAUCAAUAACUGUGUAAUUAGUGCUACUAACAAAAAACCUCAAUGAAUAUAAGUUCAGUUAAUUCAAGAUCCAGGUCUAGGUUUCACUAUUUCACAAUCUACAUUAAAAGGAUUGAUAAAUGAAACAGCAUUGACUAUACAGUAUCCACAAAAUAGACUAUAUAAAUGUGUUAUGAUGAAAUGUGUUAUAAUCUAGUCUGGAAGUAAAAUCUAGACGACUGCAUGCAUUUAUUUAUUUCAUCUCUGGUAAUGCCUCUGAUUUUAAAAAAGUACUAGAGGAAAAUAUUGCAGUUAUAUAGUGUGAAGUAUACUUGUCUAUCAAGAUGAUAGCUAGCUCUGUUUUGUUCCACCUGCUGGUGUAGAUACUGCCUUUAAAGAAGUACACAAACAUACAACUUAGGGGAAGGAUGGCUCCAUGCAUCCAGCUGUCUGAUGUUGAUCCCCACCAGAAGAUCUACUAGUACACCAAUCACUUUGGCAGAGAACUAGAUUACACUGAAAACAGGAUUCUUUAUAUAAAGCUGGACAAAGCAUGGCUGCAAACAAGUCUAGCUCAAAAAAAUAAUAAUUUUGGUAGCUAUGUUCUCAACCUGUGGCAAUAGGCUACUGAUACAGUUUCUAUCAAUGGGCCAGUAUUAGUCAUGGGCCCAAGCACAAUGAGGCCCUUUAUUCCAAAGUUGUUACACCACUGCCCAGGUUUAGUCCAACAUUAAAGUAAAAGCAUUUGGUCACAAUAAACAGAUGCCCAAUGAAACCAUUAAACUAUUCAAGAAUAAUAUAAUAAAAAGCAUGAAAGGACUAAAAUAUUUCUUGAAUACAAAAAAUCAAAUAUUAAUCUUUAUUCUUAUUGAAAAGCAUUGAGUCAAAUCUAUUCUUACUUCCUACAACAUAGAAUCCAAACA
Non-coding RNA from Biomphalaria pfeifferi, 980 nucleotides. Lineage: Eukaryota; Metazoa; Mollusca; Gastropoda; Planorbidae. The record is from the annotation of a GenBank genome assembly.